This 648-nucleotide ribosomal RNA is filed under the name uncultured Prevotella sp. Its description in RNAcentral is "bacterial SSU rRNA". It matches the Rfam family "Bacterial small subunit ribosomal RNA", at positions 68 to 715 of the family's 1533-position model. Lineage: Bacteria; Pseudomonadati; Bacteroidota; Bacteroidia; Bacteroidales; Prevotellaceae. The record is from RNAcentral.
UGAAGCUUGCUUUUGAUGGGCGUCGACCGGCGCACGGGUGAGUAACGCGUAUCCAUUCAUGGCCCCACUUGGGGAUAACCUUGCGAAAGUAAGACUCAUACCCAAUGAUAUCUCUAGAAGACAUCUGAAAGAGAUUAAAGAUUUAUCGGUGAUGGAUGGGGAUGCGUCUGAUUAGCUUGUUGGCGGGGUAACGGCCCACCAAGGCAACGAUCAGUAGGGGUUCUGAGAGGAAGGUCCCCCACAUUGGAACUGAGACACGGUCCAAACUCCUACGGGAGGCAGCAGUGAGGAAUAUUGGUCAAUGGACGAGAGUCUGAACCAGCCAAGUAGCGUGCAGGAUGACGGCCCUAUGGGUUGUAAACUGCUUUUAUAAGGGAAUAAAGUGAGUCUCGUGAGACUUUUUGCAUGUACCUUAUGAAUAAGGACCGGCUAAUUCCGUGCCAGCAGCCGCGGUAAUACGGAAGGUCCGGGCGUUAUCCGGAUUUAUUGGGUUUAAAGGGAGCGUAGGCCGGAGAUUAAGCGUGUUGUGAAAUGUAGACGCUCAACGUCUGCACUGCAGCGCGAACUGGUUUCCUUGAGUACGCACAAAGUGGGCGGAAUUCGUGGUGUAGCGGUGAAAUGCUUAGAUAUCACGAAGAACUCCGAUUG